UGGUUGAAUAGUAUAAUGCUUGCCUAACACGUGAGUGAUCCUAGGUUCAAUUCCUAG
RNAcentral lists this transfer RNA (57 nucleotides) under Heterocephalus glaber (naked mole-rat). It matches the Rfam family "tRNA", at positions 8 to 63 of the family's 71-position model. Rfam says of the family: Transfer RNA (tRNA) molecules are approximately 80 nucleotides in length. Their secondary structure includes four short double-helical elements and three loops (D, anti-codon, and T loops). Lineage: Eukaryota; Metazoa; Chordata; Mammalia; Rodentia; Bathyergidae. The record is from Rfam by way of RNAcentral.